CAAACCAUAGAGCAUUCACUGGCUAAGUGAUUGAAUUAUGCACUGUAUGCCUUACAUAAAAGCAUGUGUACAAGUACAUUUGAGUAUGGGUGCCGGAGCUGCCAGUGUGGCAGUGGGUGCAGAAAAUGCAAUCAUAUCAUCAAAGUAUAAUGCAUAGCUAAUUUUGUUUGUACUUGCAAAAAAUAAAUUGAAAAGAAAUUUUACAUGGGAAAUAAAGAUGUUUUUAUUUAUACCUGGCCAAAAAGAAAAUUUGACAACACACUGCAUGUCCUUGGAAGCACUGUAAACUACUAUUGUAUAUGAUAUAAAAUGGCAAAUCAGCGAAAAGUUCAAUAACACUUACAUUCAAUAUUUUGCCGAAAUCAACAUUUCCAGGCAUUCCCCCAGGCAUACCUCCAGGCAUUCCCCCAGGCAUACCUCCAGGCAUACCUCCAGGCAUUCCCCCAGGCAUACCCCAGGCAUACCCCCAGGCAUUCCCCAGGCAUACCUCCAGGCAUUCCCCCAGGCAUACCUCCAGGCAUUCCCCCAGGCAUACCUCCUGGAAAUCUUCCUGGAAAUCCACUUGGCAUGCCUCCAGGUUUUCUACUGGAAGAUGAUUGCUCUUGCUUCUUGGCCUUCUCAUACUCAG
Molecule: long non-coding RNA, 628 nt
Filed under: Populus tremula
Lineage: Eukaryota; Viridiplantae; Streptophyta; Magnoliopsida; Malpighiales; Salicaceae
Description: long non-coding RNA (PTRE_LNC001977)
Source: RNAcentral